RNAcentral lists this ribosomal RNA (426 nucleotides) under uncultured bacterium. RNAcentral describes it as "bacterial SSU rRNA". It matches the Rfam family "Bacterial small subunit ribosomal RNA", at positions 354 to 796 of the family's 1533-position model. The record is from RNAcentral.
GUGGGGAAUAUUGGACAAUGGGCGAAAGCCUGAUCCAGCCAUGCCGCGUGAGUGAUGAAGGCCUUAGGGUUGUAAAGCUCUUUCAGCGGGGAAGAUAAUGACGGUACCCGCAGAAGAAGCCCCGGCUAACUUCGUGCCAGCAGCCGCGGUAAUACGAAGGGGGCUAGCGUUGUUCGGAAUCACUGGGCGUAAAGCGCGUGUAGGCGGAUCGUUAAGUCGGGGGUGAAAUCCUGAGGCUCAACCUCAGAACUGCCUUCGAUACUGGCGAUCUUUGAGUCCGGGAGAGGUGAGUGGAACUCCUAGUGUAGAGGUGAAAUUCGUAGAUAUUAGGAAGAACACCAGUGGCGAAGGCGGCUCACUGGCCCGGUACUGACGCUGAUAUGCGAAAGCGUGGGGAGCAAACAGGAUUAGAUACCCCAGUAGUCC